GAUGAACGCUGGCGGCGUGCCUAAUACAUGCAAGUCGAGCGACCAGACGAGGAGCUUGCUCCCCUGACGUUAGCGGCGGACGGGUGAGUAACAAGUGGAUCACCUACCUCUAUGACUGGGAUAAUUUCGGGAAAACGGAGCUACUAAUGGCUAAUAUAACCUACCGCUUGGUUCAAUAGAGCAUCGCAGCUUUCCUGUCUCUAUUAGCUGAUUUCGCGUCGCAUUAGCUAGUUGGUAAGGUAACGGCCUACCAAGGCAACGAUGCGUAGCUGAUCUGAGAGGGUGAUCGGCCACACUGGAACUGAGACACGGUCCAGACUCCUACGGGAGGCAGCAGUGGGGAAUCUUCGACAAUGGGCGAAAGCCUGACGCAGCAAUACCGCGUGAGUGAUGAAGGUCUUCGGAUCGUAAAACUCUGUUAUUGGGAAAGAAAAGAAGUGUAAGAAAAUAUGGACGUCUUGACGGUACCUAAACAGAAAGCCACGGCUAACUACGUG
RNAcentral lists this ribosomal RNA (497 nucleotides) under uncultured bacterium. Its description in RNAcentral is "partial 16S ribosomal RNA". It matches the Rfam family "Bacterial small subunit ribosomal RNA", at positions 28 to 507 of the family's 1533-position model. The record is from RNAcentral.